UACGAGGGGUGCAAGCGUUGUUCGGAAUCACUGGGCGUAAAGGGAGCGUAGGCGGAAUCCCAAGUCGGUCGUUUAAUGCCGGGGCCCAACCCCGGACCUGCGGUCGAUACUGGGUUUCUUGAGUUAUUUAGAGGCAAGCGGAAUUCCAGGUGUAGCGGUGGAAUGCGUAGAGAUCUGGAAGAACACCAAUGGCGAAGGCAGCUUGCUGGGAAUAUACUGACGCUGAUGCUCGAAAGCGCGGGUAGCAAACAGG
RNAcentral lists this ribosomal RNA (253 nucleotides) under uncultured bacterium. RNAcentral describes it as "partial 16S ribosomal RNA". It matches the Rfam family "Bacterial small subunit ribosomal RNA", at positions 524 to 776 of the family's 1533-position model. The record is from RNAcentral.